This 492-nucleotide ribosomal RNA is filed under the name uncultured bacterium. RNAcentral describes it as "partial 16S ribosomal RNA". It matches the Rfam family "Bacterial small subunit ribosomal RNA", at positions 29 to 507 of the family's 1533-position model. The record is from RNAcentral.
AGUGAACGCUGGCGGUAGGCCUAACACAUGCAAGUCGAACGGCAGCACAGUAAGAGCUUGCUCUUACGGGUGGCGAGUGGCGGACGGGUGAGGAAUACAUCGGAAUCUACUUUUUCGUGGGGGAUAACGUAGGGAAACUUACGCUAAUACCGCAUACGACCUACGGGUGAAAGCAGGGGAUCUUCGGACCUUGCGCGAUUGAAUGAGCCGAUGUCGGAUUAGCUAGUUGGCGGGGUAAAGGCCCACCAAGGCGACGAUCCGUAGCUGGUCUGAGAGGAUGAUCAGCCACACUGGAACUGAGACACGGUCCAGACUCCUACGGGAGGCAGCAGUGGGGAAUAUUGGACAAUGGGCGCAAGCCUGAUCCAGCCAUACCGCGUGGGUGAGGAAGGCCUUCGGGUUGUAAAGCCCUUUUGUUGGGAAAGAAAAGCAGCAGGUUAAUACCCCGCUGUUCUGACGGUACCCAAAGAAUAAGCACCGGCCAACUUCGUG